CGUGAUCUACUCUGAGUGGGCGUUGUUUGUAUUUGUAGGUGAGCUCAAUGAAGACUGCAGUAAAAAGAUAUCAUGGCAGAAGUCCUUCAUGAUAUGCAUCAAAAUACUUGAGCUGGUUAGAUUUUUGCUUGUGGCUCCAGUGGAGUAAAUAUCUAAUGGAACAUGCACCAAGCCCCUGCUGGAAAGAUGAAAAAUCAAAAUUUCAAUACCAAGUUCCUGUUAAAGGUUUAAGUCCAUUCAGUUAGUGUCAAUAUAUAUUGUUAACUAUCAUUACAGGUUGGGUAGCAAUGUAGUGCUGCCUCCACGUGGCUCUGCCUGGGAUCACUAGUGGCUACUACUGCUAGUGAUGCUAAGAGCACUACAUACAAGAAGAAUAUAACAAGACUGUACUAACAG
Molecule: long non-coding RNA, 396 nt
Organism: Amphimedon queenslandica
Lineage: Eukaryota; Metazoa; Porifera; Demospongiae; Haplosclerida; Niphatidae
Exons: 2
Source: RefSeq, a predicted model, not a curated record